RNAcentral lists this ribosomal RNA (190 nucleotides) under uncultured Glomus. RNAcentral describes it as "partial 18S ribosomal RNA". It matches the Rfam family "Eukaryotic small subunit ribosomal RNA", at positions 1644 to 1831 of the family's 1831-position model. Lineage: Eukaryota; Fungi; Glomeromycota; Glomeromycetes; Glomerales; Glomeraceae. The record is from RNAcentral.
AUUACGUCCCUGCCCUUUGUACACACCGCCCGUCGCUACUACCGAUUGAAUGGCUUAGUGAGGCCCUCGGAUCGAUUUUCUGAGACUGGCAACAGUCUCUGAUUGUUGAGAAGUUGGUCAAACUUGGUCAUUUAGAGGAAGUAAAAGUCGUAACAAGGUUUCCGUAGGUGAACCUGCGGAAGGAUCAUUA